CCUACGGGAGGCAGCAGUGGGGAAUAUUGGACAAUGGGCGAAAGCCUGAUCCAGCAAUGCCGCGUGAGUGAUGAAGGCCUUCGGGUCGUAAAGCUCUUUUACCAGGGAUGAUAAUGACAGUACCUGGAGAAUAAGCUCCGGCUAACUCCGUGCCAGCAGCCGCGGUAAUACGGAGGGAGCUAGCGUUGUUCGGAAUUACUGGGCGUAAAGAGUACGUAGGCGGUUAUUCAAGUCAGAGGUGAAAGCCCGGGGCUCAACCCCGGAACUGCCUUUGAAACUAGAUAGCUAGAGUCUUGGAGAGGUUAGUGGAAUUCCGAGUGUAGAGGUGAAAUUCGUAGAUAUUCGGAAGAACACCAGUGGCGAAGGCGACUAACUGGACAAGUACUGACGCUGAGGUACGAAAGCGUGGGGAGCAAACAGGAUUAGAUACCCUGGUAGUCCACGCCGUAAACGAUGAUAACUAGUUGUUCGGUCACUUGGUGACUGAGUGACGCAGCUAACGCAUUAAGUUAUCCGCCUGGGGAGUACGGUCGCAAGAUUAAAAACUCAAAAUGAAUUGACGG
RNAcentral lists this ribosomal RNA (563 nucleotides) under uncultured bacterium. Its description in RNAcentral is "bacterial SSU rRNA". It matches the Rfam family "Bacterial small subunit ribosomal RNA", at positions 338 to 916 of the family's 1533-position model. The record is from RNAcentral.